CUGUGGUGCAUUGUAGUUGCAUUGCAUGUGUAUGAACUGAGUGCAAUGUUUCUGCAGUGCAACACAG
RNAcentral lists this microRNA precursor (67 nucleotides) under Astyanax mexicanus (Mexican tetra). Its description in RNAcentral is "mir-33 microRNA precursor family". It matches the Rfam family "mir-33 microRNA precursor family". Lineage: Eukaryota; Metazoa; Chordata; Actinopteri; Characiformes; Acestrorhamphidae. The record is from Rfam by way of RNAcentral.